RNAcentral lists this ribosomal RNA (898 nucleotides) under uncultured archaeon. RNAcentral's name for it is "bacterial SSU rRNA". It matches the Rfam family "Archaeal small subunit ribosomal RNA", at positions 1 to 906 of the family's 1478-position model. The record is from RNAcentral.
UUCCGGUUGAUCCCGCCGGACCUGACUGCUAUCGGAUUGAUACUAAGCCAUGCGAGUCUUUGCAGUAAUGCAAGGCGGACUGCUCAGUAACACGUAGUCAACUUAACCUAUGGAUGGGUAUAACCUCGGGAAACUGAGAAUAAUUCCCAAUAGAUCAUUUAUCCUGGAAUGGUUAGUGAUUGAAAUGAUUCGUCGCCAUAGGAUAGGACUGCGGCCUAUCAGCUUGUUGGUGAGGUAAAGGCCCACCAAGGCUAUUACAGGUACGGGCUCUGAGAGGAGAAGCCCGGAGAUGGGUACUGAGACACGGACCCAGGCCCUAUGGGGCGCAGCAGGCGAGAAAACUUUGCAAUGUGCGAAAGCACGACAAGGUUAAUCCGAGUGAUUUCUGCUAAAGAAAUCUUUUGCCAGUUCUAAAAAUACUGGUGAAUAAGGGGUGGGCAAGUUCUGGUGUCAGCCGCCGCGGUAAAACCAGCACCUCAAGUUGUCAGGAGGAUUAUUGGGCCUAAAGCAUCCGUAGCCGGCUCUGUUAGUUUUCGGUUAAAUCCAUAUGCUCAACAUAUGGGCUGUCGGAAAUACUGCAGAGCUAGGGAAUGGGAGAGGUAGACGGUACUCGGUAGGAAGGGGUAAAAUCCUUUGAUCUAUUGAUGACCACCUGUGGCGAAGGCGGUCUACCAGAACAUGUUCGACGGUGAGGGAUGAAAGCUGGGGGAGCAAACCGGAUUAGAUACCCGGGUAGUCCCAGCUGUAAACGAUGCAGACUAGAUGAUGCAUUAGCAUAUAGCUAGUGCAGUGUCUCAGGGAAGCCGUUAAGUCUGCCGCCUGGGAAGUACGUACGCAAGUAUGAAACUUAAAGGAAUUGGCGGGGGAGCACCACAAGGGGUGAAGCCUGCGGUUCAAU